AGUGAACGCUGGCGGUAGGCCUAACACAUGCAAGUCGAACGGCAGCACAGUAAGAGCUUGCUCUUACGGGUGGCGAGUGGCGGACGGGUGAGGAAUACAUCGGAAUCUACUUUUUCGUGGGGGAUAACGUAGGGAAACUUACGCUAAUACCGCAUACGACCUCCGGGUGAAAGCAGUGGAUCUUCGGACCUUGCGCGAUUGAAUGAGCCGAUGUCGGAUUAGCUAGUUGGCGGGGUAAAGGCCCACCAAGGCGACGAUCCGUAGCUGGUCUGAGAGGAUGAUCAGCCACACUGGAACUGAGACACGGUCCAGACUCCUACGGGAGGCAGCAGUGGGGAAUAUUGGACAAUGGGCGCAAGCCUGAUCCAGCCAUACCGCGUGGGUGAAGAAGGCCUUCGGGUUGUAAAGCCCUUUUGUUGGGAAAGAAAAGCAGCAGGUUAAUACCCCGCUGUUCUGACGGUACCCAAAGAAUAAGCACCGGCUAACUUCGUG
RNAcentral lists this ribosomal RNA (492 nucleotides) under uncultured bacterium. RNAcentral describes it as "partial 16S ribosomal RNA". It matches the Rfam family "Bacterial small subunit ribosomal RNA", at positions 29 to 507 of the family's 1533-position model. The record is from RNAcentral.